Molecule: transfer RNA, 63 nt
Filed under: Dicrocoelium chinensis
Lineage: Eukaryota; Metazoa; Platyhelminthes; Trematoda; Plagiorchiida; Dicrocoeliidae
Description: tRNA-Leu
Source: RNAcentral
GGGUUAAAAAUCCCAAAUUGAAAUGGGGUUAAUUUAGAAUAAAUUUAGGGGCCUUCCCCCCCU